Molecule: ribosomal RNA, 401 nt
Filed under: uncultured bacterium
Lineage: Bacteria
Description: bacterial SSU rRNA
Rfam family: Bacterial small subunit ribosomal RNA
Source: RNAcentral
CCCUUGUCAUUAGUUGCUACGAAAGGGCACUCUAAUGAGACUGCCGGUGACAAACCGGAGGAAGGUGGGGAUGACGUCAAGUCCUCAUGGCCCUUAUGGGUAGGGCUUCACACGUCAUACAAUGGUCGGUACAGAGGGUUGCCAAGCCGCGAGGUGGAGCCAAUCCCAGAAAACCGAUCGUAGUCCGGAUCGCAGUCUGCAACUCGACUGCGUGAAGUCGGAAUCGCUAGUAAUCGCGGAUCAGAAUGCCGCGGUGAAUACGUUCCCGGGUCUUGUACACACCGCCCGUCACACCAUGGGAGUGGGUUCUACCAGAAGUAGCUAGUCUAACCGCAAGGAGGACGGUCACCACGGUAGGAUUCAUGACUGGGGUGAAGUCGUAACAAGGUAGCCGUAAAGGG